GGUCAGUUGAAGAGGGUUGGGCCAUGGCAAUGAGGCUGCGUGUCACCCGGAGCAGUACAUGGUCACAUCUUUAGAUCCUGAAGCAAGAGCUGCAGCCCAUCUCAGGAGUCCAAAUGCAGCGACAGAUUUUGCCUCUAAGCAAUCUGCCCCUGAACUGCCCUCGCUGCUGCUUUGGUAAAGGCUUGCAACGAAAGAGUAACAGCCACUGGCGAAUCCAGUUUGUGCAAGCAGCAUCAGCAAUGGAUGAGACCUCCCCUAGACUGGAAGAAGACUGGAAAAAAGGACUUCAGCGAGAAGCGAGCUGGCAGGUAAGUGAUGUCCUCAGCUCCAGACAGCCACAGAUCACUCUCUCAUCUCUUUCAGCCCAAGUCUGGGUAAUUCACAUCAGUCUGUUGGCACAAAUGUGUUGUCUCUAGGCAUAUCUUUUUGGGAAAAUCAUCAUUAGUUUCCAUUUCUUUGUAAACCAUGCAAAUAAUAUUCCAAAUGAAUUUCCUCUAGAUUCUUGAGCAAGCUAAUAGAGUUUUACAAAUCUAUAGAUGUUGCUAAAUUUAUACUUUCUUAAUAAAGGCCCUUGAAUUAACAAGUUGCAG
Molecule: long non-coding RNA, 590 nt
Filed under: Capra hircus (goat)
Lineage: Eukaryota; Metazoa; Chordata; Mammalia; Artiodactyla; Bovidae
Description: lncRNA (ENSCHIG00000007345.1)
Source: RNAcentral